GAUGAACGCUGGCGGCGUGCCUAAUACAUGCAAGUCGAGCGAACAGACGAGGAGCUUGCUCCUCUGACGUUAGCGGCGGACGGGUGAGUAACACGUGGAUAACCUACCUAUAAGACUGGGAUAACUUCGGGAAACCGGAGCUAAUACCGGAUAAUAUAUUGAACCGCAUGGUUCAAUAGUGAAAGACGGCUUUGCUGUCACUUAUAGAUGGAUCCGCGCCGCAUUAGCUAGUCGGUAAGGUAACGGCUUACCAAGGCAACGAUGCGUAGCCGACCUGAGAGGGUGAUCGGCCACACUGGAACUGAGACACGGUCCAGACUCCUACGGGAGGCAGCAGUAGGGAAUCUUCCGCAAUGGGCGAAAGCCUGACGGAGCAACGCCGCGUGAGUGAUGAAGAUCUUCGGAUCGUAAAACUCUGUUAUUAGGGAAGAACAAAUGUGUAAGUAACUAUGCACGUCUUGACGGUACCUAAUCAGAAAGCCACGGCUAACUACGUG
Molecule: ribosomal RNA, 497 nt
Filed under: uncultured bacterium
Lineage: Bacteria
Description: partial 16S ribosomal RNA
Rfam family: Bacterial small subunit ribosomal RNA
Source: RNAcentral